RNAcentral lists this ribosomal RNA (253 nucleotides) under uncultured bacterium. RNAcentral describes it as "partial 16S ribosomal RNA". It matches the Rfam family "Bacterial small subunit ribosomal RNA", at positions 524 to 776 of the family's 1533-position model. The record is from RNAcentral.
UACGAAGGGGGCGAGCGUUGUUCGGAUUUACUGGGCGUAAAGCGUGCGUAGGCGGUUCGUUAAGUCCGUUGUGAAAGCCCUGGGCUCAACCUGGGAAUGGCAGUGGAUACUGGCGAGCUAGAGUGUGAUAGAGGAUGGUGGAAUUCCCGGUGUAGCGGUGAAAUGCGUAGAGAUCGGGAGGAACACCAGUGGCGAAGGCGGCCAUCUGGAUCAACACUGACGCUGAGGCACGAAAGCGUGGGGAGCAAACAGG